Molecule: transfer RNA, 93 nt
Filed under: Lentinula boryana
Lineage: Eukaryota; Fungi; Basidiomycota; Agaricomycetes; Agaricales; Omphalotaceae
Description: tRNA-Ser
Rfam family: tRNA
About the family: Transfer RNA (tRNA) molecules are approximately 80 nucleotides in length.
Source: RNAcentral
GGCGCUAUAGCCAAGUGGUUACGGCGACAGAUUUGAAUUACCUGCUAUAUCUGUUCCUCUUUGAGGGCGCAGGUUCGAACCCUGCUGGCGUCG